UCAGACCUGGAGAAAAGAUCCGAAGCAAUUUUAAAUUAAGACUAUAUUCCCAGACCUGUCAACACUAUAGUAUGAAUCACGGAACUGAGUACUUUCAUUAUUACUCACCAAACUUGCAAGUGUGUCUGCUGACAUCUCCGUGCUCAAUCUGCUGGACUAUUGAUGUGAGCACUGCUGUGCUCCAGAGGAGUUCUUAGCAUGUCCCAGUGAUGUUCAAAAUGUAACCCGAUUGCAAGGGUUCAUGAGGAAACCAAGGAUUGCCCGGCCAGGCUCAAGUCUUCCUCAUCCUUCUUCCUUCUGCCAUCUUUUGAGAAUGGUCACCGUAAGUGGCAUGAUUUGGUAACCGGAGGUCCUGAGCACAAAGGUUCUCAAACCUGAACAGAUAUCGGAACCACCCACCUGGAGGGCUGGGCACACUGAUUGUUUCCCGAGUUUCUAACUGAAGGCUGGCCCUUGUGACCUGCCCACCUCCUCUUCUGUCUCCUGGAGGCUGGCCCUGGUGACCUGCCCACCUCCUCUUCUGUCUCCUGGAGGCUGGCCCUUGUGACCUGCCCACCUCCUCUUCUGUCUCCUGGAGGCUGGCCCUGGUGACCUGCCCACCUCCUCUUCUGUCUCCUGGAGGCUGGCCCUAGUUGCAGGAAAACAGGCUUAGGGCUGCCACUGAUUCUACAUUAUGGUCGGCACAAAGUCGUGGCUUUGCCAUCUGACGGAGGACGCGCAGCGGUCGUCUCUGGCUGGGUAGACUGAGACCUGAACGCUGAGGGACUUAGGACCAGCAGUGCCGUCCAGGCCUGGCUGCAGACGGAAACUACUUCAAGAUAAGCUCCACCAAAAAUAGAGAGGAAAUCAAGAAGAUUAAGACGCAGGAUCCAGCGCAACGCUCCAGCACAGGAGAGACCAAAAGAACGUUUGACAAUCCACUGACUUCCUAGAAAACAGAAGAGUGGGCUGGGCAUGGUGGCUCACGCCUGUAAUCCCAGCACUCUGGGAGGCUGAGGUGGGUGGAUUACCUGAGAUC
Molecule: long non-coding RNA, 1018 nt
Filed under: Homo sapiens (human)
Lineage: Eukaryota; Metazoa; Chordata; Mammalia; Primates; Hominidae
Description: HSALNT0356110
Source: RNAcentral